RNAcentral lists this unclassified non-coding RNA (2144 nucleotides) under Leishmania donovani. RNAcentral's name for it is "gene:LdHU3.36.6500(CDS-product:hypothetical_prote in_conserved)". The record is from RNAcentral. Lineage: Eukaryota; Euglenozoa; Kinetoplastea; Trypanosomatida; Trypanosomatidae.
CCGGCGGCACGCUUGAAGGAGAGACCCAACGGCGUCUUCCAUCAGCGCACACCUGUGCCGACCGUUUUUCUUUUUUUUGGAUUGUGCGUGCCUCACUUGCCCUGCCCAGGACAACAGUCGCAAGCCAAGGCUCCAACACUGCCCCCCCCCCCUUCCCCCCUUUUUUUCAAGAUGGAUAUUUCGUAUCAAUUAUGGUCGCUCGUAGAGCAGGCGCGGCGCUCAUCGACCAUGCCGCCAGCGCGCAUCACCCUCCCUGCUCGUCAAACGCGAACAGCGGCAGAGACUCAGGCAACCGACUCUUUGCUGAUCACCUCCCAAGCGCUUGACCGUGCCGCUGACGUGGCCAUCGGUCGCGCCACAGCGCACAUUUCCGCUGUCAUGGCCGCUCUCGACGCAGUGACACCAAGUUCCUUGGCGCACCUGCAGAACAGCCUUCUGCUCUCGGAUGCGGAGCUGCUUUCCGUAAGCAGCUCGCUGAAGGCGUUCACGGAGACCCUCACCAAGGUCACUGCACUCACGGAGGCACGACGCUGGCGCGGUCGCUUGACGGGCGCACCUGCAACCGCCACAGGCAGGGAUGACGCCUUGGAGGGUCUCGCAGUGGACAAACCGGAUAGGCAAGAUGGAAAGACCCGAAGUGGCGUUGUCGCGCAUCUUCGACAGGCCGUCUCGACUCUGCAGCGGCGGAUCGCCUCAAAGCGCCUACACGUCGCCCUUGCGAAGGAGGAGUUGGCCCUGUACAAGACGGAGCUGUUUCUCUACGGUCACUGCGGUGUGGUCGCAUGCUCAGACGAGGUGGCUGCCGAGCUCGCCCGCCGCAUGGAGGCGACGCACAAAGAGGCAGGUUUGCGGGGCCAGCAAGGCGCCAAGGCACUUGAGUUGGCGGAAGUCAACGUGCUCUCUGAUGGCGGUGGCGGGCAGCAGCGGCGUCAUCACACAUCGUCAAAGUCACCCGGCCCGAUGCCGGGCUUUGGCACGACGUUUCGUGUAGUCGAUGGCAUGGUGCAGCGGGCCGCCGAAACCGUCAAAGCAGCUGGCAGCCACGCCGAUUCGGCACUGCAUGUAGCACUCACGGGCGGUCACGCUGCAGCGCGGCAGCUACUGAACGCCGGCACUGCUUCUGUCGCGGAGAUCCUUAUGCUCGGCGCUGGAGCGCGCCGCGGCGGCUGCGGCAACCUCUCGAUCCCAGCUGUUGAGGCACUCGUGACGACUGCAGGCGGUGGUGCGCCCCGGCUUCCGACUCUUCAGCCGUACCAGCUCACGAACGAAGAGGAAGCGUAUCUGCGAGAGCAGAAUCGCGCGCUUCUUGAGGCCCAGCGUCAGGCAUCCGCACAGGAUGCCAAGGCAGUCGAGGCUCUGGUCAGAGAACUAUCGCAGCUGACGUCGCUGAUGAGCGAGCAGGUGGUGCAGCAAACGGAGCAGUUUUCGCUGAUCGUCAAGAACACGGAAGCGGCGCACACGAACGUCAAAAAGGCGAUGAGCGAGGUAGAGAAGCCCCUGAGCGCCUUUUGGAAUCCGACGCGGCAGCUCGUGGCGGUCCUCUGGGUGUGCAUGGCUGUUCUUCUCGCCGUGAACUGGGCCUCACGGUGAGAGAAGCAGCUGAAGAACACAGACACAGACGGAGAACGACAAGACCCGUAGUGCUGCAACGGGCAGACGCUCUCGAGCAUGUGUUUUCCUUGCUUCCAUGCAGACACCUCCGUCGACAUUGGAGGGGAUGGGCUUGGGAGUGGCGCCUCCCCCCCCCCAUCUCUUGGAUUCGCAGGGGCUCUUAGCGGCUCCAUUCGAAGAAAAGCUGAAGGCGAGUCUCGCUCAUCCGCACACACGUUUCGGAGAGAAGCGCAGAGGAAGCAGAUGAAGAUAUCACAGCUGCCUCCGCUCCCCCUCCCCCCACCCAAAAAAAAAAAGAAAAUGCGAAGACACCACUUGCAGAGGGUAUCUCGGAGUAACCGUCAUGGUCGAAGCUAUCUCGUAGACGGAGGGGGUAUGUUUAUGCCUUUCGCACUCCUCGAAUACAGCAUUCCUCCGCGACCUAAUGAACCGGAAAAGGGGGCCGCACUCUCCCAGUAGCGACCGCGAGCAGGAAGCGUUGUGUUUCGCCGUAGUGCUCUUCGCGAAUGCUAUCCUCGACGUUUUUUUCCCAG